RNAcentral lists this ribosomal RNA (518 nucleotides) under uncultured bacterium. RNAcentral describes it as "bacterial SSU rRNA". It matches the Rfam family "Bacterial small subunit ribosomal RNA", at positions 235 to 770 of the family's 1533-position model. The record is from RNAcentral.
AUCAGAUUAGCUAGUUGGUGGGGUAAAAGCUCACCAAGGCGACGAUCCGUAGCUGGUCUGAGAGGACGACCAGCCACACUGGGACUGAGACACGGCCCAGACUCCUACGGGAGGCAGCAGUGGGGAAUAUUGGACAAUGGGCGCAAGCCUGAUCCAGCCAUGCCGCGUGGGUGAUGAAGGCCCUAGGGUUGUAAAGCCCUUUCGGCGGGGAAGAUAAUGACGGUACCCGCAGAAGAAGCCCCGGCUAACUUCGUGCCAGCAGCCGCGGUAAUACGAAGGGGGCUAGCGUUGCUCGGAAUCACUGGGCGUAAAGCGCACGUAGGCGGCUUUUUAAGUCAGGGGUGAAAUCCUGGAGCUCAACUCCAGAACUGCCUUUGAUACUGAGAAGCUCGAGUCCGGGAGAGGUGAGUGGAACUGUGAGUGUAGAGGUGAAAUUCGUAGAUAUUCGCAAGAACACCAGUGGCGAAGGCGGCUCACUGGCCCGGUACUGACGCUGAGGUGCGAAAGCGUGGGGAGCA